CAGCAGUGAGGAAGGUGGAGUAUGUUAAUAGCAUAUCUAUUUGACGUUAGCUGCAGAAGAAGCACCGGCUAACUCCGUGCCAGCAGCCGACGGUAAUACGGGAGGGUGCGAGACGUUAAGUACGGUAAUUACGUGGGACGUAAAGCGCAUGCAGGUUGGUUUAGUUAAGUCAGAUGUAGAAACGGCCCGGGGCUACAACCGUACGGUAAUUGCUAUUUAGAAACGUGGACAAACUAGAGUACUGUAGAGGGGGUAGAAUUUCAGGUGUAGCGGUGAAAUGCGUAGAGAUCUGAAGGAAUACCGGUGGCGAAGGCGGCCCCCUGGACAGAUACUGACACUCAGAUGCGAAAGCGUGGGGAGCAAACAGGAUUAGAUACCCUGGUAG
Molecule: ribosomal RNA, 385 nt
Filed under: uncultured bacterium
Lineage: Bacteria
Description: bacterial SSU rRNA
Rfam family: Bacterial small subunit ribosomal RNA
Source: RNAcentral